GCGGAAGAUCAAGUCAGCGGUAAAAUUGAGAGGCUCAACCUCUUCGAGCCGUUGAAACUGGUUUUCUUGAGUGAGCGAGAAGUAUGCGGAAUGCGUGGUGUAGCGGUGAAAUGCAUAGAUAUCACGCAGAACUCCGAUUGCGAAGGCAGCAUACCGGCGCUCAACUGACGCUCAUGCACGAAAGUGUGGGUAUCGAACAGGAUUAGAUACCCUGGUAGUCCACACAGUAAACGAUGAAUACUAAUUGUUCGGGGAGAAUGAUCCCUGAGUGAUACAGCGAAAGCGUUAAGUAUUCCACCUGGGGAGUACGCCGGCAACGGUGAAACUCAAAGGAAUUGACGGGGGCCCGCACAAGCGGAGGAACAUGUGGUUUAAUUCGAUGAUACACGAGGAACCUUACCCGGGCUCAAACGACACAGGAAUACUUUUGAAAGGAGGUAGCUCUACGGAGUCUGUGUCGAGGUGCUGCAUGGUUGUCGUCAGCUCGUGCCGUGAGGUGUCGGCUUAAGUGCCAUAACGAGCGCAACCCCCAUCGCCAGUUACCAGCAAGUCAAGUUGGGGACUCUGGCGAGACUGCCGGCGCAAGCUGUGAGGAAGGCGGGGAUGACGUCAAAUCAGCACGGCCCUUACGUCCGGGGCGACACACGUGUUACAAUGGCAGGGACAGCGGGAAGCCACCAAGCGAUUGGGCGCGGAACCCGAAACCCUGUCUCAGUUCGGAUUGGAGUCUGCAACUCGACUCCAUGAAGCUGGAUUCGCUAGUAAUCGCGCAUCAGCCAUGGCGCGGUGAAUACGUUCCCGGGCCUUGUACACACCGCCCGUCAAGCCAUGGAAGCCGGGAGUGCCUGAAGUGUGCAACCGCAAGGAGCGCCCUAAGGUAAAACUGGUGACUGGGGCUAAGUCGUAACAAGGUAGCCGUAA
This 921-nucleotide ribosomal RNA is filed under the name uncultured bacterium. RNAcentral describes it as "bacterial SSU rRNA". It matches the Rfam family "Bacterial small subunit ribosomal RNA", at positions 575 to 1505 of the family's 1533-position model. The record is from RNAcentral.